AGAAUUCACCAAGUGUUG
This 18-nucleotide small nuclear RNA is filed under the name Arabidopsis thaliana (thale cress). Its description in RNAcentral is "snRNA_06100". The record is from RNAcentral. Lineage: Eukaryota; Viridiplantae; Streptophyta; Magnoliopsida; Brassicales; Brassicaceae.